Molecule: ribosomal RNA, 433 nt
Filed under: uncultured bacterium
Lineage: Bacteria
Description: partial 16S ribosomal RNA
Rfam family: Bacterial small subunit ribosomal RNA
Source: RNAcentral
GACGAACACCGGCGGCAUGCCUUCCACAUGCACGUCGACCGAGACCUUCGGGUCUAGUGGCUCCCGGCUGCGUAACGCGUGGGAACCUGCCCUUAGGUUCGGACUAACUCCUCGACUGGGGUGCUAAUACCCGUUCAUGUCUUCGCACCAAAGAUUUAUCGCCUUUGGUUGGGCCCGCGUUGUAUUAGCUCGGUGGCAGGGUCAAAGCCUACCAAGGCGACGAUCUAUAGCUGGACUGGGAGGAAGAUCAGCCACGCUGAGAGUGAGACACUGCCCAGACUCCUACGGGAGGCAGCAGUGGAGGAUAUUGGACAAGGGGCGAAAGCCGGAUCCAGCAAUGCCGCGGGAGUUAGGAAGGCCUUAGGGUUGUAAAGCUCUUUUACCCGGGAUGAUAAUGACAGUACCGGGAGAAUAAGCUAGGGCUAGCUCCGUG